Molecule: non-coding RNA, 540 nt
Organism: Paramuricea clavata
Lineage: Eukaryota; Metazoa; Cnidaria; Anthozoa; Malacalcyonacea; Plexauridae
Source: the annotation of a GenBank genome assembly
UCCAAACUUGUUGACAACUUGGGACAAGCAGUGCGAAGACAACUUGUUGGCAGACUUGCUACGAGACGCGAGACUUUUGCGUGUGUAGUACACACGUAAAAGUCUCACAUCUUGUAGCAAGUCUGUCAACAAGCUGUCGACAAGUUGUCUUCGCACUGCUUGUCCCAAGUUGUCAACAAGUUUGGAACAAACUGUUAACAACUUGUAACCUUGUUUAUAUUAUCAGACUUGUUUGCAAGGUUGUUCCACCGAGUCCAAUACAGUCAUGAUAUAACAAUGUUGUUACAACCUUGUGUGGUCAACCUUGUAACAUUCUUGUUAUAUCACGACUGUAUCAGACUUGACAGAACAACCUUGUAACAAGUCUGAUAAUGCCAUCAAGCUUGUUACAAGUUGUUAAUGCCAACAAGCCGUCCACAAGUUGUGUUCGUACUGCUUUCCCAAGUUGUCAACAAGUUUGGAGCAAGUUUGGAGUUUUGUUAACAACUUUUUUAAAACUUGUUACAACAACUGGGAACAAGUAGUGCAAUACACGUAAAA